This 773-nucleotide ribosomal RNA is filed under the name Ganoderma lucidum. RNAcentral's name for it is "eukaryotic LSU rRNA". The stretch from base 241 to 394 matches the Rfam family "5.8S ribosomal RNA". Lineage: Eukaryota; Fungi; Basidiomycota; Agaricomycetes; Polyporales; Polyporaceae. The record is from RNAcentral.
GAAUGUUAUGAUCUGUAUGUGACCUGCGGAAGGAUCAUUAUCGAGUUUUGACCGGGUUGUAGCUGGCCUUCCGAGGCAUGUGCACGCCCUGCUCAUCCACUCUACACCUGUGCACUUACUGUGGGCUUCAGAUUGCGAGGCACGCUCUUUACCGGGCUUGCGGAGCAUAUCUGUGCCUGCGUUUAUCACAAACUCUAUAAAGUAACAGAAUGUGUAUUGCGAUGUAACACAUCUAUAUACAACUUUCAGCAACGGAUCUCUUGGCUCUCGCAUCGAUGAAGAACGCAGCGAAAUGCGAUAAGUAAUGUGAAUUGCAGAAUUCAGUGAAUCAUCGAAUCUUUGAACGCACCUUGCGCUCCUUGGUAUUCCGAGGAGCAUGCCUGUUUGAGUGUCAUGAAAUCUUCAACCUACAAGCUUUUGUGGUUUGUAGGCUUGGACUUGGAGGCUUGUCGGCCGUUAUCGGUCGGCUCCUCUUAAAUGCAUUAGCUUGGUUCCUUGCGGAUCGGCUCUCGGUGUGAUAAUGUCUACGCCGCGACCGUGAAGCGUUUGGCGAGCUUCUAACCGUCUUAUAAGACAGCUUUAUGACCUCUGACCUCAAAUCAGGUAGGACUACCCGCUGAACUUAAGCAUAUCAAUAAGCGGAGGAAAAGAAACUAACAAGGAUUCCCCUAGUAACUGCGAGUGAAGCGGGAAAAGCUCAAAUUUAAAAUCUGGCGGUCUUUGGCCGUCCGAGUUGUAGUCUGGAGAAGUGCUUUCCGCGCUGGACCGGAAAU